UACGGAGGGUGCAAGCGUUGUCCGGAAUCACUGGGCUUAAAGGGCGCGUAGGCGGGCAAGCAAGUCCGGGGUGAAAGCUUUCGGCUCAACCGGAAAAGGGCCUUGGAUACUGCUUGUCUGGAGGGAGGUAGGGGCCCGUGGAACUUCCGGUGGAGCGGUGAAAUGCGUUGAUAUCGGAAGGAACGCCGGUGGCGAAAGCGACGGGCUGGAUCUCUACUGACGCUGAGGCGCGAAAGCCAGGGGAGCAAACGGG
Molecule: ribosomal RNA, 253 nt
Filed under: uncultured bacterium
Lineage: Bacteria
Description: partial 16S ribosomal RNA
Rfam family: Bacterial small subunit ribosomal RNA
Source: RNAcentral